Molecule: ribosomal RNA, 393 nt
Filed under: uncultured bacterium
Lineage: Bacteria
Description: partial 16S ribosomal RNA
Rfam family: Bacterial small subunit ribosomal RNA
Source: RNAcentral
AUACGGAGGACGCGAGCGUUAUCCGGAUUCAUUGGGUUUAAAGGGUGCGCAGGCGGCCGUGCAAGUCAGCGGUGAAAGCCCGGGGCUCAACCCCGGAAGUGCCGUUGAUACUGCAUGGCUGGAAUGCGGUCGAGGCGGGCGGAACGUGGCGUGUAGCGGUGAAAAGCGGAGAUAUGCCACAGAACGCCGAUAGCGGAGGCAGCUCGCCAGGCCUGCAUUGACGCUCGGGCACGAAAGCGUAGGGAUCGAACAGGAUUAGAUACCCUGGUAGUCCACGCCGUAAACGAUGGGCGCUCGUCGUCGGCGACAGACAGUCGGCGGCCAAGCGAAAGCGAUAAGCGCCCCACCUGGGGAGUACGGUCGCAAGGCUGAAACUCAAAUGAAUUGACGGGG